Molecule: long non-coding RNA, 264 nt
Filed under: Struthio camelus australis
Lineage: Eukaryota; Metazoa; Chordata; Aves; Struthioniformes; Struthionidae
Description: lncRNA (ENSSCUG00000015082.1)
Source: RNAcentral
UUGAUAUCUUUUUUUUUUUUUUUUUGUUAAUACAAAUUCAUUUUUCCUUAGACUGGCCAAUGGUAAUCAGCUUGACGAUAUGCAUCAGGGUCUGCCUGCAAAGGAAAGGCUGUCCUCUUUAGCAUUCAGAUGGGAAGACGUUCAUUCAGCUGGUGGUGUGCUGAACACAAGACCAUGAAUAUGCAAAGUAUAACCAAGUGACUUUGCUUUUAAUUACGCAAGUCAGUGUUCUGAUCCGGUACACCCAUGGCUUCACCUUUGGCA